Molecule: ribosomal RNA, 497 nt
Filed under: uncultured bacterium
Lineage: Bacteria
Description: partial 16S ribosomal RNA
Rfam family: Bacterial small subunit ribosomal RNA
Source: RNAcentral
GAUGAACGCUGGCGGCGUGCCUAAUACAUGCAAGUCGAGCGAACAGACGAGGAGCUUGCUCCUCUGACGUUAGCGGCGGACGGGUGAGUAACACGUGGAUAACCUACCUAUAAGACUGGGAUAACUUCGGGAAACCGGAGCUAAUACCGGAUAAUAUAUUGAACCGCAUGGUUCAAUAGUGAAAGACGGUUUUGCUGUCACUUAUAGAUGGAUCCGCGCCGCAUUAGCUAGUUGGUAAGGUAACGGCUUACCAAGGCAACGAUGCGUAGCCGACCUGAGAGGGUGAUCGGCCACACUGGAACUGAGACACGGUCCAGACUCCUACGGGAGGCAGCAGUAGGGAAUCUUCCGCAAUGGGCGAAAGCCUGACGGAGCAACGCCGCGUGAGUGAUGAAGGCCUUCGGAUCGUAAAACUCUGUUAUUAGGGAAGAACAAAUGUGUAAGUAACUAUGCACGUCUUGACGGUACCUAAUCAGAAAGUCACGGCUAACUACGUG